AUUGAACGCUGGCGGAAUGCUUUACACAUGCAAGUCGAACGGCAGCACGGGGCAACCUGUGGCGAGUGGCGAACGGGUGAGUAAUAUAUCGGAACGUGCCCAAUCGUGGGGGAUAACGUAGCGAAAGUUACGCUAAUACCGCAUACGAUCUACGGAUGAAAGCGGGGGGAUCGCAAGACCUCGCGCGAAUGGAGCGGCCGAUAUCAGAUUAGGUAGUUGGUGGGGCAAAGGCUCACCAAGCCAACGAUCUGUAGCUGGUCUGAGAGGACGACCAGCCACACUGGAACUGAGACACGGUCCAGACUCCUACGGGAGGCAGCAGUGGGGAAUUUUGGACAAUGGGCGCAAGCCUGAUCCAGCCAUUCCGCGUGCAGGAUGAAGGCCUUCGGGUUGUAAACUGCUUUUGUACGGAACGAAACGGUCUGCCCUAAUACGGCGGGCUAAUGACGGUACCGUAAGAAUAAGCACCGGCUAACUACGUG
Molecule: ribosomal RNA, 482 nt
Filed under: uncultured bacterium
Lineage: Bacteria
Description: bacterial SSU rRNA
Rfam family: Bacterial small subunit ribosomal RNA
Source: RNAcentral